This 87-nucleotide transfer RNA is filed under the name Candidatus Gottesmanbacteria bacterium. RNAcentral's name for it is "tRNA-Tyr". It matches the Rfam family "tRNA". Rfam says of the family: Transfer RNA (tRNA) molecules are approximately 80 nucleotides in length. Their secondary structure includes four short double-helical elements and three loops (D, anti-codon, and T loops). Further hydrogen bonds mediate the characteristic L-shaped molecular structure. tRNAs have two regions of fundamental functional importance: the anti-codon, which is responsible for specific mRNA codon recognition, and the 3' end, to which the tRNAs corresponding amino acid is attached (by aminoacyl-tRNA synthetases). tRNAs cope with the degeneracy of the genetic code in two manners: having more than one tRNA (with a specific anti-codon) for a particular amino acid; and 'wobble' base-pairing, i.e. permitting non-standard base-pairing at the 3rd anti-codon position. Lineage: Bacteria; Candidatus Gottesmaniibacteriota. The record is from RNAcentral.
GCGGAGAUGCCAGAGAGGCUAAUCGGGCCAGACUGUAAAUCUGGUGCGCCGUGAGGCGCUUCGGGGGUUCAAAUCCCUCUCUCCGCA